UACAGAGGGGGCAAGCGUUGUUCGGAAUUACUGGGCGUCAAGGGCGCGUAGGCGGCCUUCUACGUCGAACGUGAAAUCCCCGGGCUCAACCCGGGAACUGCGUCCGAUACUGGAAGGCUUGAAUCCGGGAGAGGGAUGCGGAAUUCCAGGUGUAGCGGUGAAAUGCGUAGAUAUCUGGAGGAACACCGGUGGCGAAGGCGGGAUCCUGGACCGGUAUUGACGCUGAGGCGCGAAAGCCAGGGGAGCAAACGGG
This 253-nucleotide ribosomal RNA is filed under the name uncultured bacterium. RNAcentral's name for it is "partial 16S ribosomal RNA". It matches the Rfam family "Bacterial small subunit ribosomal RNA", at positions 524 to 776 of the family's 1533-position model. The record is from RNAcentral.